RNAcentral lists this ribosomal RNA (301 nucleotides) under uncultured bacterium. RNAcentral describes it as "partial 16S ribosomal RNA". It matches the Rfam family "Bacterial small subunit ribosomal RNA", at positions 509 to 808 of the family's 1533-position model. The record is from RNAcentral.
CAGUCGCCACGGUAACACGUAGGGGGCAAGCGUUAUCCGGAAUAACUGGGCGUAAAGGGUGCGCAGGUGGUUUAACAAGUUAGUGGUGAAAGGCAUAGGCUCAACCAAUGUAAGCCAUUAAAACUGUUUAACUUGAGUGCAGGAGAGGAAAGUGGAAUUCCUAGUGUAGCGGUGAAAUGCGUAGAUAUUAGGAGGAAUACCAGUGGCGAAGGCGACUUUCUGGACUGCAACUGACACUGAGGCACGAAAGCGUGGGGAGCAAACAGGAUUAGAUACCCCGGUAGUCCCUGUCUCUUAUACA